GCUGGUAUAGCUCAGUGGUAGAGUGUUUGCCUAAUGUGCACAAGGCCCUAGGCUCAAUCCCUGUACCACA
RNAcentral lists this transfer RNA (70 nucleotides) under Marmota monax (woodchuck). It matches the Rfam family "tRNA". Rfam says of the family: Transfer RNA (tRNA) molecules are approximately 80 nucleotides in length. Their secondary structure includes four short double-helical elements and three loops (D, anti-codon, and T loops). Lineage: Eukaryota; Metazoa; Chordata; Mammalia; Rodentia; Sciuridae. The record is from Rfam by way of RNAcentral.